CCUACGGGAGGCAGCAGUGAGGAAUAUUGGUCAAUGGCCGGAAGGCUGAACCAGCCAAGUCGCGUGAGGGAUGACGGCCCUACGGGUUGUAAACCUCUUUUGCCGGGGAGCAACGGGCGCCACGUGUGGCGCCACUGCGAGUACCCGGAGAAAACGCAUCGGCUAACUCCGUGCCAGCGGCCGCGGUAAUACGGAGGAUGCGGGCGUUAUCCGGAUUUAUUGGGGUUAAAGGGGGAGUAGGCGAAUCGUGAAGUCAGUGGUCAACAUGAGGGUCUCACCCCCUUUCCGCCAGUGAAACUGGCGAUCUUGAGUGGAAGAGAAGUAUGCGGAAUGCGUGGUGUAGCGGUGAAAUGCAUAGAUAUCACGCAGAACCCCGAUUGCGAAGGCAGCAUGCCGGCUUCCGACUGACGCUGAAGCACGAAAGCGUGGGGAUCGAACAGGAUUAGAUACCCGGGUAGUC
This 460-nucleotide ribosomal RNA is filed under the name uncultured bacterium. Its description in RNAcentral is "partial 16S ribosomal RNA". It matches the Rfam family "Bacterial small subunit ribosomal RNA", at positions 338 to 795 of the family's 1533-position model. The record is from RNAcentral.